UACGUAGGGAGCGAGCGUUAUCCGGAUUUAUUGGGCGUAAAGAGUGCGCAGCCGGUUUAUUAAGUCUAAGAUGAAAGCCCGAAGCUCAACUUCGGUUUGUUUUAGAAACUGGUAGGCUAGAGUAUGGUAGAGGCAAAUGGAAUUUCUAGUGUAGCGGUGGAAUGUGUAGAUAUUAGAAGGAACACCAGUGGCGAAGGCGAUUUGCUGGGCCAGCACUGACGGUCAUGCACGAAAGCGUGGGGAGCAAAUA
This 250-nucleotide ribosomal RNA is filed under the name uncultured prokaryote. RNAcentral's name for it is "partial 16S ribosomal RNA". It matches the Rfam family "Bacterial small subunit ribosomal RNA", at positions 524 to 774 of the family's 1533-position model. The record is from RNAcentral.